ACACACACACAGACACAGCGCGCUACUGAGAAAAAAAAAGAAGAAACGAAGAAACGAGUCCUAGGAUUGACGCUUUUUUUUUUUUUCGUUCCGUCAGCGAGUGCUUUCUCCUGACAUGUAAAGCUAUGUGAAUAUGUACAAAGAGAGAGAGAGAG
This 155-nucleotide non-coding RNA is filed under the name Lotharella oceanica. Lineage: Eukaryota; Cercozoa; Chlorarachniophyceae. The record is from RNAcentral.